UUUCCCUCAGGAUAGCUGGCACUCGCUUGAGCGAGUCUCAUCUGGUAAAGCGAAUGAUUAGAGGCCUUGGGGCCGAAACGACCUCAACCUAUUCUCAAACUUUAAAUGGGUGAGAUCUCUGGCUUGCUUGAACGUUGAAGCCACGAGAUUAUUGUUGGAUCAGAGUGCCAAGUGGGCCAAUUUUGGUAAGCAGAACUGGCGCUGUGGGA
RNAcentral lists this ribosomal RNA (209 nucleotides) under Metaphycus sp. D0587. RNAcentral describes it as "partial 28S ribosomal RNA". It matches the Rfam family "Eukaryotic large subunit ribosomal RNA", at positions 967 to 1163 of the family's 3401-position model. Lineage: Eukaryota; Metazoa; Arthropoda; Insecta; Hymenoptera; Encyrtidae. The record is from RNAcentral.